RNAcentral lists this ribosomal RNA (17 nucleotides) under Leptidea juvernica. RNAcentral's name for it is "partial 28S ribosomal RNA". The record is from RNAcentral. Lineage: Eukaryota; Metazoa; Arthropoda; Insecta; Lepidoptera; Pieridae.
UCUGCCUCAUACUUUUU